Long non-coding RNA from Ailuropoda melanoleuca (giant panda), 362 nucleotides. RefSeq lists it as uncharacterized. Lineage: Eukaryota; Metazoa; Chordata; Mammalia; Carnivora; Ursidae. The record is from RefSeq and is a predicted model, not a curated record. The transcript has 3 exons.
CAGGUAUUGGGCUUGUCACAGUGGACUCAGGACAGGCAGGUCUGAAGGGGGAAAGCUAGCUGCCAUGUUGUGAAGACACUCAUGUAGCCUUACAGGAAGGCUUACAUGGCACAGAAAUGAGGUUUCUGUCCAACAGACAGUGAAGAACUAAGUCUCCAGCCAAUAGCCAUGUAAAUGUGCUAUCUUGGAAGCAGAAUCGCCAGCCCCAGUCAAACCUUCAUAUACUGUAGCCCCAAUCAACAUCUUACUGGAUCCUCUUGAGAGACUUUGAGCUAGAAUGACCCAGAGAUAACUUAGAAAUUCCACAAAUAUGAUGGUGACACCAGAGAACUGGGAACUCCAGAGGGGAGUGGUGUCAUGAG